CAUGCGUAGUAUGGCUUCAGCCAUGAUAAAUAUCAUGAAUAAAUGUAAAAUUUUAUAUUAGAUAAUUUCUUGGAAUCUUUACGUGUUUUACGAUGGCAAUUUAUGCACGGAGUACUCAUGGAUCUAAAUUAACAGAUGCAAGUGUACCCAGUUCGAUUGUUUCUGCCUUCAGGAGCACUAGGACCAAAUCCAUCCAUACCAUCUUCAGUUCUAUAUCUUCAAAGUAUUUUACACAUGAUUUUCAGUGAAAGAUGUAGAAAAACAACUGGGAAAGAAAAUAACCAUAUUCAUUGACCGAGUGCAAUGAAUUUUAUAUAGUCUUUGUUGUUAAUGUUUGAUGCUUCUGAAUAUUCUACUCAUCAUGCUGCUUACACCAAACUGUUUUACAGCAAAUAAUGUAAUGUGAGUUAUAGUAUAUUAGUGAAGACCUAACAGUUAAACUGUGAAUGACUGAAUGGAAGAAAAAGUGGGAUUGAAACAUGGGUCUCAUAUGGACUUUCAGUUGGUGUGUGUAAUGGGAAAAGAAGGCAGCUGGGUGAAUGAAUCAGGUGACCCAAAACCAGACACUCUGAUCCAGGGGUUAUCGGGUCAAACAUGAACUAUGACGGCAGUCAGCAGUAUGGUUUCAACCUUGGAUUAGCUGCUGCUGCGGCGGCGGCUGCUGCAGCAGCUAGCCAGCAACAACCAGUACAACAGAAUGUGGCAGGUAACAUUUAUCCCUACUUUCCGGGAGCAGGGGACUUACAGCAACAGCAGCAAUUGUCUGCCAAAGUUGCUGCCCUGGGGCAACCAACAGCUGUGGCAGCUUUGGCAAGAAAGAACAUCUUGUACAGUCCACAACAGCACCAUCUGCAACAGCAGCAACAACACCUCCAGCAUCAGCAACCACUUCAGCAACAGCAGCAUGGAACAGCCUUUGGCUUGGUGCAAGGGCAGGCAAUGGUUGGGAGGCAGAAUGUGUUUCCCAUGGCUACAGGGCUGUCCAUUCCCCAGGAGCCUCUCUGUUCACCUCAGAAUAUGCUGGAGGCAUAUGGCAGUCUCAGUCCCAAUAUGAUGGGGCAGAAAGUGGCAUCUACUGGUGCUGUCGCAGCCUCUGGCUAUAGGAACUUUGGCUGGAUGAACAUCCCUCAGGCCAACAACAACAUUGCCACCGUCAGCAACAAUAACAAUGCAGGCACUACAACCCCCGUCAACAACCAGCCAUCACUUCCCAGCAUUGGGCAUCUGUUGUCGCAUCUGCAGCAGCAGCAGAAGCAGCAAACAACCAUGACAGCUUUGUUCCACCCUUCUCCCCAGCAGUCACAGCCACAGCAACACCAGCAAAAUAUUGCCAACUUCCAGAGUAUACAUGUUUUCCAGGGGGCGCCCACUGCAAACUUGCAAAUGUCUCCUGGUGGGCUUCAGGUGUCACCAGGAAGCAUACAGGUAUCCCCCAAUGGGCAAGCAUUUCAGGUGCCACAGUCCCUACAAAAUACUUUGUCUCCAAACACUAUGGCUGCUGCUGGCGUUGGCUUUUCUGCCCUUCGCCAGGUGCAAGUCUCAGCUGCCAUUGGAGGCAUGGUGGGUGGUGGCAUCCGUAAUCAGGUGGUCAUGGCACCUCGAGGACAGGUGAUCAUGGCCCAGACAUUUCCUACAGGAAACUCGGGUAGCAAUGAGAUGAAGAACUUUCAGUCUGUUGCCAAGUUGGCGACUGUAGGGCCAGGAGGUGGGUUAGGAGUCAGAGCUGUGAUGGGCGGCCAGGUCAACGUUGUGAGUGCACCCCCUAUCUCUGCAACUCUCCCUUCUGCAGCCUUAGUUACCUCGUCUACAGCUGUCAGCCAUUCUGACCAGCCAGUGUCAUUUGUGUCACAGGCCAGCUGCAACCACAUUGCAUUAACCACCACCACAGUGACUGUCACCACAUCUGCCUGCAGUCUUGCUGCCACCACAGCCACUACCGUGCACACCUCCAUUCCUUUAGCCACCAGUAUCACCUCGCUGCCCAACAUCUCUCCCACCUCUUGUCAGCACACCUCACCCCAUCCUUCCCACCCUGCUCACAACAGCCAUGUACAAGAGGUAGAAACAAAGAGAGAUGGAGUUUCUGGGUUGUUGGCAACCUCUUCUAUGCCUCUAGUAGCAUCUUCGGCUGGCACCCCUGCAAAUGGAUCUGAUGAGGCUGGGAAUGGUGAAGUUCAAGUGAUUAAAGUUCCUUACAGCUGGCGACGGGAGCUUGUCAAUGGAGCUGUUGUAUACUUCAGCCCAAGCAAUGUGUGUCUGUCUUCAUUGGAGCAAAUUCAGGCCUACCUUUCUAAGUCAGGAACAUGCAAGUGUGGACUAGAAUGCCCACUGCAAGUUGGGCGAACUUUCAACUUUGAUCCAGCUGUUGAAGGCAAGCCAUGGAGCAUGGAGGAUGUCACAUGCUCUCAAGAUCUUACCAAACUGUGUAAUCACAAGCGGAAAGUUCUGGCAUUAGCUGCAUUUCAAAACUCCACUGUUGGUCAAGAGACCCAAGGCAAAGCUGAUGGCCCAGCUACAAAAUUUAGGAAGAGAGACAAGGGCAAACUGGGAGACAAUCUGCUGGUUUCACCUCUGGUGGCAGACUCCAAGUUGAAGACAUCCAUCACAAAUGCAGUUAACAAGCAUGCUGCAGCCACUGCCCUGUCUCUUAGCAGCAGCCAUAACAGCCUAAACAGCAGCACCAGCAGCAUUAUUUCCUCAGCCCAGUCUUCAUCAGCAGAGGAAAUAGGAGUAGCUGGGAGCAUUAGCCAAGCAACAAGCACUGACCUUGGGAUUUCAGUUCCCACUCCCCAGCACAUGGUUCCUCCAUCUGCAAACUGUGGGGUGGAUCGAAGUGGCAGCAUUCACUGUCCAGCCCAGUCUCCAAUGUCACAUUCUCCAGCCAGUAUGCACAGCACACCAGGUAUGCCAGUUGGGGGAGGUGGUGACCACAUGGAAGGCCUGGGCCCCAUCACAAGCCACUUUCCUGGUAAACUGGACUUUGGCAGGAACCAUUCCUGCAGCUCUGUUGCCAUAGGUAUUGGAGGUAGGGGAAUGACUCCCAACCAUGUGGAUCCCAGACAGUUUCCCCAAAGUGCUUUGCAGUGCAAUGUGUUCUCUCCUGAUGAGUUUAAGCAGUCCUAUUUCAUGCAGCAGCCACAGGUACAUCCUCACCCUCAGGGUCAAGUUAACAUGAGUGGUAUGCCUUUCAUGGCCCCGAUGCCACCGCACACUGGAGUGGCACCUGCAGGGACCCAGACAUUCCGAGGAACCCACCCCAUCAGUAUACAGAUGCAGUAUCCUGUGGGUUUCCCUCAUGGUCAGCAGCAGGUUCAUUCUCAACACCAUUACCCUAACACCAUGGUCUGUCAUGGGCUGCAGCAACAACAGCAGCAGCAUAUGCAUCCCACACACCAGCACUCGCAGCAACAGCCACCACCACUACCCCAUCACCAUGCACAUCAAGGGCAGUCACUCCUGAGACACCACCAGCCCCUGCAGCCACCGCAUACCAUGUUUCAGAAUCUCCGUAUGGGUUCUCCAGGGGUGUGGCCACCACAGCACCUACCACCUCACCAUGGAGGACCCACUCCUCCUUCAGGGUACCUUUCUGAUCCCCAUCACCAACAAGGAGGAGGGGUGUUUCCAGGUGGUUACCCACAUAUGGGAGACCUGCUGUGGCUGGAGCCAGGCAAACCAAAAAGCAAACGCCCCCGAAGCAAGAAGGACAAACAGAAGCUCAACAGUAUUGUGGAUAGAACCUCACCAUGUGGUGUGCUGGGCCGACACAGGCCUGGAGGAGCAGGGACUGCCAUGCCCAUGACAGACCUGCCUAAGUGUUCGACGCCGUCCACUCCUGCCAUAACCACCAGUACCCCAAAUGUGUUCCCAUCUGCUGCUGCCACAACUACAUUACCAUGUUCCGUCUCAUUUCUUGAAAACCCUGCUGUGUUCGUGGCCCAGCAGACUGCAAUUAUAAACAGCUCAUUGGCCAGCUGUCAGGUAGACCUUGGUUCCCCACCACAUCUCACCAACCCUACUUUCACCUCCAACCCAGUGAGAGCUAAUGCAUGCUCAGCUACUAACACCACUUUGCCUAUAAUAAAAGUGGAACCGGACUGUGAUGAAAGGCUUUCAGAAAGUUUCCCUGCCUCAGGCAGAGGGAUGACUGAAUGUGAGUGCAAACAGGAGCCUACAACUGAUGAUGUUUUGUGCUUAAGAGAUCAAGAUAAGAAGUUGUGUGGCAACUCAUCUGUUAUGAGCACUGUUCACCUCAACAAGAGUCAUGUUGUGUCAAAACUUGAGCCCAGUGCAGUUUUACCCUCACAGUCAGGAAGUUCAUCAUCUAAAGUUAGUGAUACCUGUGGUACCGGUGGUAAUGGCUUGUCACAGGGGUCACAGGGCAAGAAAAAACCCUCCCCUAAGGCCAAGAAUCGUCAGAAGAUGCUGCCUGUAGCCAGCAAGUUGACUGUUGCCAACACGUGUUUGCCGGAGUGUGCUUCCCCAGUCACCUUACCCCAACACAGCAUUGUUUCUCCCCAGCUGCCAGUCCACCACCAGCAGCACACCAGUGAUGCUAAUGCCAUGAAUGCUGUGACAGGUUCUGUCCCUUUUCAAGUUCCUGACCUCUCUCAGCUCCUUCUCGGCAGUUGUGGGAACACCAGCAAUAACUGGAACUUGAUGGCCUUGCAGUUAGCACAAUACAACAACAGUAAUGGUAACAACGGCAGUCUCGGAGGGAAUGGGGAUUUGAACUCCAGUGCAAGCACUAAUGCACCGACAGAUUUUCCUGCCAGCAGUCUCCUGACGGCGGCAGCCAGGGCGCAGCUUUCUCAGCAAACUCCUCUGAACUCUUUCUUGUUGCCUGCCAUUCUGUCUGCCAAUGGACUAGCUACUCAAGAUCUUCCCCUCCUUGCAGCUGCAGCUUUGCAACAGCAACAACAACAGCAGUUGCAGCAGCAUGAUGCCACUGCAUCAGUAACCUUGAAUGGUGGUGGCAGUGCAGAUCUCACUGCUAAAACAUCACCUGCAAUGGCAGGGACCAGCAUGGUUGGGGUUAGUCCUGUGGGGGUUGCAACCUUGAACCAGGCCUGCUCAUUACCCAUGCAGCUGCUGCAAGGUACAAACAUGGUGACAGCUGGUGUGAUGCCUACCACUGCUUUCCAAGGUGGAACUUUGCUGGCCCAAGGAGUGCAGAGCAUGCAGGGCUUGCAGGGCCUGCCCCUCAAUGUCUUUUUGCCAAUGAAUCAGACAGGCGUUGGAGCUGAUGGCUUGCAAGGCAUCUCCAUUGACAUGGCAGGUAAUAUCCUGGCCUCUGUUUCCAUGGGCAACACAGUCUGCAAGACUUUGAACAUUUCACCCAAGAUGGUCACCACAUUAGUUGACACUGCAUCGGCCAUCUCACCAGGUUCGCUUCCAGGUUCCCUGUCACCAGCAGUACCCACCUCUGCAGGUUUCUCAUCACAAGGAUGUGGCAGCAUGAAGGGAAUGGGGUCUACCAUUCACCACCUCCCACAGAACAACAUACCUCAUGCUGUUGCACAGAAUAUUGGUUCAGGCAUUCAGACCCAGAAUCUUAGUCAGAGCAUACAAGGGAGUCAAAACACAUCUCAGAGCAUGCAGGGUCAGGCAUUUAAUCAGACUAUAGGUCAAGGUGUGCCGCAGGCGCUGGGAGUGAAUGUCAGCAUGGGUCUGGGAGGUGGGGAAGCUGUUGUGCUGAACAGUCUGCUACCUUCCUUCCUAACGCUCAAUACCUCCAUGCCACCCAUCUCACUCCCCAUGGUCACCAGCGUCACCAACAGCCUAGCGCAGGUCAUUCCUGCUGUUGGCACUGCCCCAGCUCUGCUCACCACGCAGCAGCAGCACCAACCCCAGCAUCAGCAGCCCCAGCAGCAGCAGGCAUCCGCAGCACAGUUUCUCAAUGCUCUGGCUAUUCCUGCCGUGGCUGCGGCAGCGUUUGCCAACCCGCUGCUCAUAACGAAUCCUUUGGUAGCUCAGGCCACAGCUAACCCUCCUGUGCCCCAGUAUCCUACAAAAGUCAUCACAGAUGAGCGAGACUGCGAUGAGUCUGUGCAAAGCAUGCAGGCCAUGGGCAGCCAGAUAGAGGAAAAGGCCCUAGAAAGUUCUUCACACAAGCUAGAAGAUGGUGGGGGAUGCUCAGGGAAAACCUUGGAUAUGCCCCAACACCAUAGCUUGAGCCAGCAGGCUCUCACGGUGCAGACAAGCGAUGCUUUUCAGCAGCAGCAGCAACAGCAGCAGGUCUUUGUUCUACCUGGUGGUGGCUUACCUCUGAUGCACGUACUCAGUGCUGGCACACAUCAGCUUGGUGCAGCAGCAGGCGUUGUUGAUAAACUGUGUAACACCACCCAGCUUUUUCUUCCAGCAGCUCCGUCUGCUGCAACACUUUCACCAGAUCUGACGCAGUUAGGGGCUGUGGCAGCCUUGACUCCACUGGGCAUUCAGCAGAUGUGGAACAGCCUCAACAGUCUACAGUUGCAGCAAUUGCAGACGCUGCAACUUCAGCAGCUAGUGUGGCAACAGCUGCAGGGCAUGCAGGCCCUUCCCCCACACAUCACCACAUUGGAUGCAUCUGCCACCCAUCCACUGCAGACACAUUUCUUUACAAACCUACAGCAGCAACAAGUGCAGAUAUCCACGUCACAGCAGCAGCCCCAACAGUCCCAGGAUGUAUUGAUUGCCCAAGAAGAAGAGGUAGAGGAAGAGGAAGAGGAAAUGGAAGCAGGUGGAUUAAUAUCCAUGGAUGGAGCAGGAAGUGACUGUGGUGCUCAGACAGAGAUUGCAUCAUCUUGCAUCUCUAUGGAGAAGGUGCAGGCUCGUGAAUGUGUGGAUGCUUCCCCGGCAUCACCAGUGCAGAGUCCAGAUGCCAGCAACAGUCCCAGUUCAAAAGCAGGACCAGUCCCAGCAAAGACGAGUGGACAGAGCCCAGAUAACAGCAAUGGCUUUAGGGAGACUAAAGCCAGUCAAGAAAUCUUGCCAUCAUCAGAUAUCUCUCCUUCAUUGCAGCAAGGAGGCAAAAGCACACACGGGGGUGCAGAGAGAAAUACUGUUGGUAAUGCCUUGCAAAAACCUGACAUCUUCUUAAAUUGCAUGGUCAAGUCUUCAUCUGGUCCAGCUUCUAGAAUGUCAACAGCUAGUAGCCCAAGGUCGCAGAGCAUAAAGUCACAUGUGGUGAGUUCUACAGCCCAAUCGACAAUGAUGGAUACCAGCUGUUUAAGUGGGAAGCAAAGUUGUGGUGAUCCUGUUUCACUGAAUGACAGAAAUGCUCGUGCCAGUAAAACAUUGUAUCCAGGAGACAAAACUGCAAGCAACUUUAAUCAUUCAAGUUAUCACCCUACUGUCAAUGGAAACUGCAGGGGCAAAAACCUUCAAAGCCAGAUGGAGGGGGGAGGCAAACGCAGGGGAGUAAAGAGAAGCCUGGAGGACCAGUGCUUGUCUGCAGGUGCAGCCAAAGAUGCAUAAAUCCGGAAAAUUUGUCAAGCAGGUCUGAAAACAAUUACACAUUUGGCAUUGUGAGUCUGAACAGUUUCAGAUAAAUCAUGUG
RNAcentral lists this unclassified non-coding RNA (7540 nucleotides) under Pomacea canaliculata. RNAcentral's name for it is "uncharacterized LOC112556209, transcript variant X1". Lineage: Eukaryota; Metazoa; Mollusca; Gastropoda; Architaenioglossa; Ampullariidae. The record is from RNAcentral.